Molecule: transfer RNA, 65 nt
Filed under: Afronurus rubromaculatus
Lineage: Eukaryota; Metazoa; Arthropoda; Insecta; Ephemeroptera; Heptageniidae
Also listed under: 1 other name
Description: tRNA-Phe
Source: RNAcentral
GUUCAAAUAGCUUAUCAAAGAGCGUGGUACUGAAGAUACCAAGGAGAUUUUAGGAUCUUUGGACA